This 141-nucleotide unclassified non-coding RNA is filed under the name uncultured fungus. Its description in RNAcentral is "sequence contains ITS1". The record is from RNAcentral. Lineage: Eukaryota; Fungi.
AUCUUUAUUUAUUAUACAAUAUAAAAUGAUUCAAUUUAUAAAAGAGUGGGGGUUUUAAAUACAAGUUUUCGCGAGACCAUGAUCAAAGAUCAGGACCGCUAAAAAUUGGUAAUGAUCCUUCCGCAGGUUCACCUACGGAAA